GGAGGUAGAGCUCAAAUGGCAGAGCAAAUGCUUAGCAUGCACAAGGUCCUGGGUUCAAUUCCCAGUACCUUCU
This 73-nucleotide transfer RNA is filed under the name Camelus bactrianus (Bactrian camel). It matches the Rfam family "tRNA". From Rfam's summary of the family: Transfer RNA (tRNA) molecules are approximately 80 nucleotides in length. Their secondary structure includes four short double-helical elements and three loops (D, anti-codon, and T loops). RNAcentral also lists the same sequence under 1 other name. Lineage: Eukaryota; Metazoa; Chordata; Mammalia; Artiodactyla; Camelidae. The record is from Rfam by way of RNAcentral.